Molecule: long non-coding RNA, 218 nt
Organism: Triplophysa rosa
Lineage: Eukaryota; Metazoa; Chordata; Actinopteri; Cypriniformes; Nemacheilidae
Exons: 3
Source: RefSeq, a predicted model, not a curated record
UAUCAGGAAGGAUCUGGGUCAACUAUUGGUGAAGAAGUGGAACAGGUGAACAGUUUCCUAUCUAGGAUUGCUAUUACUACCAAGUACAUGUCGAAAUCAGGUCGUGCAGACAUGAUUACAAUGCAGGCCAUGUCCUGGAAUAAGUGUAAGCUUCUCAAUUUGGGACAGGCUUUAGUUCAUAGAUAUUUAAAGACUCAAAAAGCUUUGCAAGAGCAACA